This 102-nucleotide non-coding RNA is filed under the name Caryophanon tenue. RNAcentral's name for it is "Guanine sequence". It matches the Rfam family "Purine riboswitch aptamer". Rfam says of the family: Riboswitches are metabolite binding domains within certain messenger RNAs that serve as precision sensors for their corresponding targets. Allosteric rearrangement of mRNA structure is mediated by ligand binding, and this results in modulation of gene expression. A class of riboswitches that selectively recognises guanine and becomes saturated at concentrations as low as 5 nM. Lineage: Bacteria; Bacillati; Bacillota; Bacilli; Caryophanales; Caryophanaceae. The record is from Rfam by way of RNAcentral.
CUAAACGAAGUAUAUUUCACUCAUAUAAUCGUGGGGAUAUGGCCCACAAGUUUCUACCGGUUCACCGUAAAUGAACUGACUAUGAGAGCUCAUAUAAGUAGA